This 253-nucleotide ribosomal RNA is filed under the name uncultured bacterium. Its description in RNAcentral is "partial 16S ribosomal RNA". It matches the Rfam family "Bacterial small subunit ribosomal RNA", at positions 524 to 776 of the family's 1533-position model. The record is from RNAcentral.
UACGUAGGGCGCAAGCGUUGUCCGGAAUUAUUGGGCGUAAAGAGCUCGUAGGUGGUUUGUUACGUCUGCUGUGAAAACCUAGGGCUUAACCCUGGGCCUGCAGUGGAUACGGGCAGACUAGAGGUAGGUAGGGGAGAAUGGAAUUCCCGGUGUAGCGGUGAAAUGCGCAGAUAUCGGGAGGAACACCGGUGGCGAAGGCGACUCUUUGGCCUAUAACUGACGCUGAGGCGCGAAAGCGUGGGGAGCAAACAGG